RNAcentral lists this unclassified non-coding RNA (261 nucleotides) under uncultured fungus. RNAcentral's name for it is "sequence contains ITS2". The record is from RNAcentral. Lineage: Eukaryota; Fungi.
AACGCACAUUGCGCCCGUCAGUAUUCUGAUGGGCAUGCCUGUUCGAGCGUCAUUUCAAACCUCUUCAAGUAAAACUUUUUACUUGGUGUUGGGGUUCUGCAGUAUAGGCAGGCCCCUAAAAUCAGUGGCGAGCUCACCAGUAAACCCCAGCGUAGUAAAAAAAACAUCGCUUCAGGGCUUUUCGAAGAGUCUUUGCCGUUAAAAACCCCUUACUUAAACAAGGUUGACCUCGGAUCAGGUAGGAAUACCCGCUGAACUUAA